Molecule: long non-coding RNA, 2621 nt
Organism: Varroa destructor (honeybee mite)
Lineage: Eukaryota; Metazoa; Arthropoda; Arachnida; Mesostigmata; Varroidae
Source: RefSeq, a predicted model, not a curated record
UAAAUCUAUAAGCGAUAAAGAAAUCCCAAUACCAGAGAGAGGGACUACGAAUCAAGAGUGCUAAAAAAAAAUGGCUAAAUAAUAGUUGGAUCAGAGAUGCAGUUUCUUAUCGCGGUAACGUGGUAAAAGAACAAGUAUACAAAGGACAACACUUACAAAGUGAAGACCUUGCUCAAAAGAGGUGGAAAAAAAAAUAGAAAGGUUAUAAUUUCCUUCAUUUAUGGUUUCGGCUUUCGUUGUCGCCUGAUUUUUUUACACAUGAUGAAGGACGAAUUUCAAAGUGCAUGCAAAGGCGGUAGGCACUGAUACAGGCCUUUGUUCUCUAAGUGAAGCUUCAAAGACAGUAUUUCUGCAUGCAAAAAAAUAAUGUUACCAAAAGUGUGAAACCAUCGGUUUUUAUAUAAGUAUACCUAAGAUUCUAUUAUGGUGCUAUGAACGAGUGCAAUUUAUCGCUUCGAAUAAAAUGAUAGGAUAUUUUUCACUAAUUCCACAGAUCGAUUCUCUAGACCGUCCACUGAGUGGACAGAAUUUUGUGUAACUGUAUUUCAAUAGAUAACAUGCGGUCUAUGAAGUUGUAUGCAAUCAGUUCGUGUUCGACGGACGUCCUCCGCCUUGGGUUGAUACAUCUCUUAUUGUUCUCAUAAAAACGCAAUGGGUAACGUAUUAACCCGCCAAGCAUAGGAAUGUGUGCUGGUCUAAGUUCGAAUCCGGGCGUAAACACAUUCUUAGCGACUUAAUUACCGCACGUAAAACUCAAAGAAGCUUUUUUUGGUAUUACCUCCGCCAUCGAUCGGGGCAAAAAAUGAAUCGUGUGUUUACAAAAUUCUCCACCCUAUCGUUCGGAAACCGACAGUAUGGUACCUUCUAGAUGGUACUGUGUUAUGAAGAAGUCGAUUUUGAAGUUCCAAGAAUGUUGAUGGUAGUCGAAUAAUGCGUGACAGGGUGAAUCCAGUGCGUGUGUCGUACGCUUCCACUGCUACACCUAUGUAAUUGAUACAGUUAGUUUCUUCAAGCUGUACACAACAGACACCUCCUGUGAUAUGCUUGACAGGUCUCAGAAAGUAGCAUGUCCAGGAAACACAAAUUACGUCCGUUUCUGUCUCUUUCUUCCUUUUCAUUGAAUUUUCGUUGUUUGUGACAAUGCGAGCGAAAAAGUAUGGAAAGUCUGUCUGGCCACUUAAAGUUCCAUACUUCUCUUCCAUAAAGUGCCACUGGUUUCUUUUAGUGAAACCUGCUACAUUUCACUUCAAGUAUUCGAUCUACCCGUCGUUACCUGGUAAGAUCUGUUCUCACCGAACAACAUCUUUCAGAUCCAGAUUCUCUGUAGAAGAUUCGCUGAACGACCUGUUAUCGACAGCCCAAAAGCGGCACGAACUUCGGCGAACUUAAGUUCGAACUUAAGAAAAAAGAAAAUCGGGCAAUUGAGCCCAUGAGAAGAUCGAACUUAAUGAUUCCGUUUGAAUGCCCCGUGUGUUUUUCUACCAGCAAAUUGAUUCGUUUCUGGUUCAGGCCAAUCACCAGGGAAACAUGAAUCACAAUGAGCAAUAGUCCUUUUUUUUGCGCAGCUCUAACAUCGGUGAAAAGUUGUCAAUAACGACAGAAUUUAAAGAAGCAAAAAACCUGUUGUUGUGUCUUCACAUAAGCACAUUUAUCGAUACUCAAGGUAGAUUGGAAGACCCUUUAUCGCAACGAGCAUGAGUUUAUCCGUUAAUCUUCGUAAUAGAAGAAGUCGAGUUCUUUCUAGCUUUGAGACACGUGGUAGAUUAGGCGCGAAACCUGGCACGGAGACACUUCGUUUGGUGCUGGGAACCAGUCGUCUGAACGGUAGUAAAGACCGUCAAACUCAAAGGACUUAUAUCGGGAAAAAGACGAACUGAUAAUGGCGAAGGCCGAACGUCCAUGUUCGAAUUAUGAACUGAGACUAGCUACUGUCCAACACCUUGACGAAGGACGAGCCCCCGUUAGCAUAACGUAACUAAUAGUCCUAGGUCGACAAUCUACGUUGUAGCCAGCCUCCGAAAGAUCCGAUCAACAUUUUUAUGGGCAAAAGCAGACAAACGACGAUAUUAAUUUGAUCGAUAAGAUGCAAGACUCAUCAAAGUGACGUAAAAACUCUAACUUUCAUUCUUGUAGACAUUAAACUGAGUUUUUAUUUUUGAAAGGAGAACACCAUUGCCAAUUGAGUCGUCAACCUAAGCCCAAUGAAAUUAUACUUAAAAAAAAAAUGGAGCACUCACAAAGACCGCGAACAGCAAAAAGCGUGACGUCUGUAACAUCGGGAUCUAACAUUAUUUGAUAAGCAAGCAUUGAGGACACUCGGCAAAAUGACGAGGAAUGAAAAAGAAACAUUCUCUAGACGACCUUUUUUUUGUGCUCUGCUCGAUGUAUACUUCAUGCAUUUGGAAAAGACAUUCGGGUUUUCCAUUCCGCGUAACUGAAACUUCAACGAAGAAUGACGAUGCUCCUCAUUAGUACUACUAUUAGAACAACUGAUUAUUGCAACGUCCCGUUUCCGCGUACAUGCAUACCUUUCAGCCUUCUGCCUAUAGGAACAUUUGACGAUACCGACUGUAGUGAUCAGGACAAGAGCCAGUAGGCCUGCCACUAUGCCGAAGCGCGUG